GGUGAGGGUCAUACGACCAGCUCCUUCUGAAUCCCCCCAGGCCGGAAACGGAGCAAGGGUAGGAAGUCGAGCGGUGCGAUAUGAUUCCUCACCUUC
RNAcentral lists this signal recognition particle RNA (96 nucleotides) under Saprospirales bacterium. RNAcentral describes it as "signal recognition particle sRNA small type". It matches the Rfam family "Bacteroidales small SRP", at positions 9 to 102 of the family's 107-position model. From Rfam's summary of the family: The non-coding component of the signal recognition particle in Bacteroides The record is from RNAcentral. Lineage: Bacteria; Pseudomonadati; Bacteroidota; Saprospiria; Saprospirales.